Molecule: long non-coding RNA, 2136 nt
Organism: Triticum dicoccoides
Lineage: Eukaryota; Viridiplantae; Streptophyta; Magnoliopsida; Poales; Poaceae
Exons: 7
Source: RefSeq, a predicted model, not a curated record
UCUCCCCAGUACUCUCUCCUCUCCUCUCCACUCACUCAACCUCUCUCGCCCCUCUCCCGGUCUCCCCUCCCCCGCCGCAUCCGCUGCACGUGACCACAAGCUCCUGCCGCAACCGCGCGACUCUGCCCGCCGACCACCGCAUCCGUCGCAUGCAUCGGCGGUUGCCGCACGAUGAAGGUCACGGCUGGUCCCGCGACGACCUCGGCUGGAGGAGGACGAUAGGUCCAUAGCGACGGACGCUCAAGUAAGAGGAGCGGCCCAAUGGCGGCGGCCUCGAGCACGGGGAUAAGUGCAGGCUGGGGAUGCAGGAGAGGUGUAGCGCGGGGUUUGGAGCUCCCACGAGCUGGGUGAGGCGCAUCCGACGGCGACAGACACAGGGACGCGUUGAUCCGGGUGUGGGUGCUCAAUUCGGUCCCGUUCUGGCCGGAUCCGCGGCGGUGCUCAUCUCCGGCGAGGUGGCAUGUGACUCGCGGGACGGCGGAGGCGCAAGACCAAAUGAGGGGCUCAUCUCAUGGGACAGGGGCGCGAGGUCUUGUUAGCUUCGGUUGCCGGUGGCUUGACGCAGGGGUGGCCGGGGUCCGGCGCCAUGGAGGCUCUUUGAGGACGAGGAAGCAGACAGCGACGACAACUUUGAGGCCGGCGGGGGUGCCGUCUCCGCGUUCGAUGAUCGGGGUCCAACGCGGCCGCCGUUGGCUCCAUCCCCUACAGUUAUCAUGCGGAUAAGAGAACCAAAAACUACCACAUUGAUAUCUGCUUCAGGAAAAAUGGUUUGCACUGGAGCAAAAAGUGAACAGCAAUGUAAACUCGCAGCUAGAAAGGUCAAAUAUUUGACGAUGUUUUCUUCUCCCAACCUGGCAAGGAGUAAGAAGUCAGUUGGAGUGAGAAGUGAGACAAGUACCAUGAGCUCAAGUGAUUCAUUCACCAAGCUGGUAAACGCAUAAACUUCAAAAAAAUCAUCUCAAUAAGUUUUGGUUGGGUGAUAGCUUGCAAGAUCUUCAUAUUCUACAUAGAAGGUGCAGUGUGAUGUGAUGCAUAUGGAACUGGUAUUACUUUGCAGUAUGGAACUGGCGGUGGGUGUAUGAAAUGUGAUGGCUGUAACAUUAUACCUAAUUUCUUAUCAGUUCAUGAUAUGGCUGUUUGAAAUGUGAUACCUGGCCAUGAGUGUCUCUGGCGCGGGAUCCUGGACGGCGGUGGCUGGUGAAAGGGAUAGCCGGAUCCUGGACGUCUUCGGUGACAGGUCCUGAAAGGGAUCGGCGCCGGAUCCUGAAAGCGUUCGGCGGAGGGUCCUCAACUGGACAUGCACUGGAUCAGUGGAGGCCGGAUCAGUGGAGACCAGCGGCGGAUCAGUGCUAGGGCGGCAGCGAAGGGAUGGAGCGGCGGCGGUGAAGGGAUGAAGAGCGGCGGCGGGCGAAUGAGGGCACAGACUCGGGCGCCUGUUUCUCGCUCGAGUGCACGAGACCUCGCUCAUGGGUGCGAAGGGUGGUUAGGCGCGUGGGGGCGGAUGUGGGACUCGGCCCUGAGGAUUUUUCUUGGUUCAUCGCGGCUGAGCGGGAGGUGGGAGCAGGUACCAAAAAAGAUCGGGUGAGGUGGGACGAAAAUUAAAUCCGGAAUGCGACCUACCAACUGAGACAUUAGGAGUAGAGAUGUCUGAGUUGGUUGAAUAGUACGGUUUAUUUUCGUCUCAUCAUUUUCAAUCGUUUUAUUUCACUGGUUUUUUUCUUCUCCUCUUCCCAUCCGCCGGUUUACUUUCGCGUCACCCUCUCACAUAACGAAAAAAAUUUGAACGGGUCAGAACUUUCUAUGAUGGCGCAAGUUUUUCUACUCCUAGUGUCUGAGUUGAUUGAAUAGUACGGUUUAUUUUUGUCCCACAAUUUUCAACCAUUUUAUUUCACUAGUUUUUUUCGUCUCCUCUUUCCAUCCCAUCAGUUUACUUUCGCGUCACCCUCUCACAUAACGAAAUAAAUCUGAACGGAUCAGAACUUUCCAUGAUGGCGCAAGUUUAUUUAGUGAUGUCUUUAUGUGAGCAAUCACAAUCAAUGUCUAAAGAUUAAAUCUAAAUUAAUUAAUGAUAUGUCACCAACGUAUUUAUAAUUUUUUAUUGCUCCAUGCUAUAUUAUCUACUGUUUUGGACUAUAU